This 253-nucleotide ribosomal RNA is filed under the name uncultured bacterium. Its description in RNAcentral is "partial 16S ribosomal RNA". It matches the Rfam family "Bacterial small subunit ribosomal RNA", at positions 524 to 776 of the family's 1533-position model. The record is from RNAcentral.
UACGUAGGGCGCAAGCGUUAUCCGGAAUUAUUGGGCGUAAAGAGCUCGUAGGCGGUUUGUCGCGUCGGCCGUGAAAACUUGGGGCUUAACCCCAAGCUUGCGGUCGAUACGGGCAGACUUGAGUUCGGCAGGGGAGACUGGAAUUCCUGGUGUAGCGGUGAAAUGCGCAGAUAUCAGGAGGAACACCGGUGGCGAAGGCGGGUCUCUGGGCCGAUACUGACGCUGAGGAGCGAAAGCGUGGGGAGCGAACAGG